Molecule: non-coding RNA, 1763 nt
Organism: Equus caballus (horse)
Lineage: Eukaryota; Metazoa; Chordata; Mammalia; Perissodactyla; Equidae
Source: RefSeq, a predicted model, not a curated record
GCUCGGGAGCCAAGCUCAAGCCCAGCAGCAGGCGAUCAAUCCUCCUGCCAAAUCCACAGCGAGAAUAAUUCCCCAGCCCUAGGCCAGGCCCUUGGCGGUGGCUUUCAUGGCCAAGGGCUCACAGAGCAGCCUCUGGAUUGGGCUCCUCAUUGCCGGCCUGGCAUCUCCAACACAGCAACCCUGGGGGCUUUGUGACUACACAGCUGCUGGGGCCCCUCCACUUCUGAAAACCUCCAGUGGCACCCCCGCCAGCCUGAAGGCUGACAUUCCUGCUCUCCAGCUGGCCCAGGGGCGCAGGUCUCACUGCAGGCGCCCUCCUGGCCUCCCCAGACCCACCCCCCGACCCCACUUCGGCCGCACGAGACCACUGACUGCCCCCUCCCGUACCCUGCCUUGGCACAGGUGGAUGUUCCACCUGGCAAGCUCCUCCUACCUUUUUCUAGGAAAAUGCAUAUUAAAUGUCACUUCCUCUGGGCUUCCCGCUUGGAUUGCCCAGGAAAGCAGGAGUUCCCCCUCAGGGCCCUUUCAGAACUGUGCGUUUUCUCUGUCAGGGCCCCGUCACACGCUGCUGUCCUUUCGUCUGUUGGUAGUUGGCUCUCCAGCUGGAAUGAGCACUCCUGGAAGGCAGGGCCCAGGUCAGAAUCAUGCCGUCUCUGUCUUCCCCUCAAGGCCUAACUUAGGGCAGGUACUCCAAUGUUUGGGGAUAGAGGAAAGAAGGAAGGAAGGGUCAUGUCAUUCCUUCGCUGGCUGUGGAACCAAAUACCUGCUGUGCCAGGCUGCACGUUCCUCCAUUAGCUGGGGCCCUUGGGCUUCUUUAUCUGGCUCCCAUGGGCCAGAGAGACCUGCUUCAGAAGCAGGAGGCCUCAGAGGCCAGCCAGGGGCCUGGACUGUAUAACUGUCCCUCUGCCAGUUGAGCAGAGACCCAGACCACUGUGGAGGGCUUCCACCAACCAAGCCCCUGCCCCAGGCCCGGGUUUCAAGCAGGUUCAAACUCUGGCUCUGCCACUCCCUGGCUGGGUGGUCUUGUCUCCUGCCUGUCCUAGAAGGCUAUUCCCAGUCAGUCAUCUGUCCGUGUCCACAGAGGUGACUGUGGAGGACAGCAACCCGGCUGGGUGGCUGGACUGACCACAGCAGGAGUCACCCGUGGAGAUUCUGUUCCUUACCUCUCCUUUGCAGGCACUCAGCUCACCAUCGCCGCGUAGCGAACCAUGUCAGCUCCUCGGAGAUGUUUCCCUGAUGCUGCCUGGGCUGCCGGGAGAGCUAGCCCUCAGGCCGGGAGGAUCCCAGCCCUCGCAAAUUUCCCGCUCAGCUCUGGUCAAGCUACCUCACCUCCUGGAGCCUCAGUUUUUGCUUCUGCAAAUGAAGGAAUGCCAAAAGGCUGAAGGAACAGUGCAAGAGUUUUGGGCCAGGCAAUGGACCCAGGACCCACUGGCCUGAGCACCUGCACAGAACUCCGCGAGGGAGGGGACUGGAAGCCCUCUGAGGCUUCCCGGGCAUCCAGGCGAGCGUAGGGAGCUGCAGGUUUGGGGAAGAGGGCUGAUGCAGAAUCAGGAAGAACCAAGAGAAACCUUGAAAACCAUGGAAACUGAGAGCAGAGGCCCCGGAGGUGGGGAAGGAGGUUCCACUGAGUAGAAGACAGACAGGCAGCAGUGGGUUUGAAUCCAAACUCUGCCAAAUACUAGCCAUGUGGCCUUGGGCAAACCACUAAACCUCUCUGAUUCUUGAUUUCCACAUCUAUAAAAUAAACUAAUUCUAUCUUGCAA